This 474-nucleotide ribosomal RNA is filed under the name uncultured organism. Its description in RNAcentral is "partial 16S ribosomal RNA". It matches the Rfam family "Bacterial small subunit ribosomal RNA", at positions 332 to 797 of the family's 1533-position model. The record is from RNAcentral.
UACACUCCUGCGGGAGGCAGCAGUGGGGAAUAUUGCACAAUGGGCGCAAGCCUGAUGCAGCCAUGCCGCGUGUAUGAAGAAGGCCUUCGGGUUGUAAAGUACUUUCAGCGGGGAGGAAGGCGAUAAGGUUAAUAACCUUGUCGAUUGACGUUACCCGCAGAAGAAGCACCGGCUAACUCCGUGCCAGCAGCCGCGGUAAUACGGAGGGUGCAAGCGUUAAUCGGAAUUACUGGGCGUAAAGCGCACGCAGGCGGUCUGUCAAGUCGGAUGUGAAAUCCCCGGGCUCAACCUGGGAACUGCAUUCGAAACUGGCAGGCUAGAGUCUUGUAGAGGGGGGUAGAAUUCCAGGUGUAGCGGUGAAAUGCGUAGAGAUCUGGAGGAAUACCGGUGGCGAAGGCGGCCCCCUGGACAAAGACUGACGCUCAGGUGCGAAAGCGUGGGGAGCAAACAGGAUUAGAAACCCCUGUAGUCCCA